GACGAACGCUGGCGGCGCUUCUAACACAUGCAAGUCGAACGAGCGAGAGAGAGCUUGCUUUCUCAAGCGAGUGGCGAACGGGUGAGUAACGCGUGAGGAACCUGCCUCAAAGAGGGGGACAACAGUUGGAAACGACUGCUAAUACCGCAUAAGCCCACGACCCGGCAUCGGGUUGAGGGAAAAGGAGCAAUCCGCUUUGAGAUGGCCCCGCGUCCGAUUAGCUGGUUGGUGAGGUAACGGCCCACCAAGGCAACGAUCGGUAGCCGGACUGAGAGGUUGAACGGCCACAUUGGGACUGAGACACGGCCCAGACUCCUACGGGAGGCAGCAGUGGGGAAUAUUGCACAAUGGGGGAAACCCUGAUGCAGCGACGCCGCGUGGAGGAAGAAGGUCUUCGGAUUGUAAACUCCUGUUGUUGAGGAAGAUGAUGACGGUACUCAACAAGGAAGUGACGGCUAACUACGUGCCAGCAGCCGCGGUAAAACGUAGGUCACAAGCGUUGUCCGGAAUUACUGGGUGUAAAGGGAGCGCAGGCGGGAAGACAAGUUGGAAGUGAAAUCUAUGGGCUCAACCCAUAAACUGCUUUCAAAACUGUUUUUCUUGAGUAGUGCAGAGGUAGGCGGAAUUCCCGGUGUAGCGGUGGAAUGCGUAGAUAUCGGGAGGAACACCAGUGGCGAAGGCGGCCUACCGGGCACCAACUGACGCUGAGGCUCGAAAGUGUGGGUAGCANACAGG
This 735-nucleotide ribosomal RNA is filed under the name uncultured bacterium. RNAcentral describes it as "bacterial SSU rRNA". It matches the Rfam family "Bacterial small subunit ribosomal RNA", at positions 28 to 776 of the family's 1533-position model. The record is from RNAcentral.